GUCCACGCCUAACGAUGCGAACUGGACGUUGGGAGCAAUUAGGCUCUCAGUGUCGAAGCUAACGCGUUAAGUUCGCCGCCUGGGGAGUACGGUCGCAAGACUGAACUCAAGGAAUUGACGGGGCCGGCACAAGCGGUGGAGUAUGUGGUUUAAUUCGAUGCAACGCGCAGAACCUUACCUGGCCUUGACAUCCACGGAAUCCUUGAGAGAUCAGGGAGUGCCUUCGGGAACCGUGAGACAGGUGCUGCAUGGCUGUCGU
Molecule: ribosomal RNA, 259 nt
Filed under: uncultured bacterium
Lineage: Bacteria
Description: partial 16S ribosomal RNA
Rfam family: Bacterial small subunit ribosomal RNA
Source: RNAcentral